RNAcentral lists this ribosomal RNA (475 nucleotides) under Sathropterus sp. JM520. RNAcentral's name for it is "eukaryotic LSU rRNA". Lineage: Eukaryota; Metazoa; Arthropoda; Insecta; Hymenoptera; Ichneumonidae. The record is from RNAcentral.
CCUGAGAAACCCAAAAGAUCGAAUGGGGAGAUUCAUCGUCAGCGGCUCUCGGUGCGUGUGCGGUUCGGGAUUUCGCGGGGCCUCGGUCUCGCGGAACUCGUCCGCAUUGUUAUUUAUGCCGGAGCUCGUCGGCGUGCACUUCUCCUCUAGUAGGACGUCGCGACCCGUUGGGUGUCGGUCUACGACCCGGGUGGGAGUCUGUCGUGCGUCGCGCUUCACGGUGCGUCAUGCGGCAGACCCCCGGACGYCCGNCCGACUGCCCGGCGGUACUCGCACGGUAUCGGGCCGCAAUUUUGAACUGCGUCCGGCUUGUCGCAAGCGAGGCACAAGAUUUUCAUCUCGGACGUACGGACCUCGUGCCGUCGCCGGGCUUGUCCAGCUGUUGGUCGACAAUGCUCUCGGACUGGCUCCGUCACAAUACCGGUCGGCGACGCUACUGCUUUGGGUACUUUCAGGACCCGUCUUGAAACACGGA